This 11372-nucleotide long non-coding RNA is filed under the name Nicotiana tabacum (common tobacco). RNAcentral describes it as "long non-coding RNA (NTAB_LNC007971)". The record is from RNAcentral. Lineage: Eukaryota; Viridiplantae; Streptophyta; Magnoliopsida; Solanales; Solanaceae.
UUUAUUUUUUUUUUCUUAAACUUCAUAUCCAAUCAAACACUAUCACAUAAAAUGGAUGGAGGGAGUACUAAAUUUUGUCUAAAUUUGCUGAUUAUUUUUCUUAAAUUUUCUGAAUUUUUUGUUGAAUUGAUCACGUUAAUUAAUGUCACUAUUAGAAAUGACAUGAUGAAGAGUUCCUAAGAGAUGAUUGUGAUCAAUACUUUAAAAUCUCUUUGGAUGAUGUUAGGACUCAAAGAGGUAAUUUGAAGAAAUUUUUAUGAAAUAGAGAUUGUUUAUCUUGUUAAGGUUUGCGAAGUGAAAAAUUGGAGGAGAAAGUUCAUUGUAUAGGGUCAAAAUCGGGCCUACCCAAUUUUGCUAUUUGAUCGAGACAAGAGAGUUGCAUCAGGAGUAGCCUCGUAAUAAAUCGGACCAGGGCUCGAAGAUGAGAUAUCAAGCCUAGAGAUCGAAGUGUACGUUGAGAUCGAGGCCAGCAACAAUCGAGAUCAAGUAUUGACCGACUUCGAGGGGAGCAUAAUAACUGAAUGACGAGAUAUCAGUAACCGGUCGAAGAUCACGGCGUGAAUCUCGGAACGGAUAUCCGUGAUCGGUCGAGGAUCAUGGCGUGAAUUUCGGAAUGGACCAAAUUAGAAGUGGAUAACUAGUUGUUUUUAUGGUUUCCUUCUCUAAUGAGAGACAUACCAUAAUUAGGUCUCCUCUACUAUGUAAAGAGGAGGUCCAAUCAUUUGUAGGCAUCAUUAUUCACUGAUAAGAAUAUACACAUACGAUGUACGCUGUUUUCUUUGUUCAUCACUAUUCAUCGUUGUUUGUUCUAUCCUAUAUUGUUCUUAUUAAUUAACCUCGAGGCUACUUCGAAUCGAGGUCGAGGCAUCGCUUGUAGACCGGUUUGUUUUAUUUUAUUGUCCAAGUUAUCUAUUUAAUUCGUUAUUUUUCAAUUGGUGCUAGUCUAAAUGACAUAUCCUUAAAAUCACAAUACAAGUUUAAUUGUUACUCAAUUUUUAGGGGAAACAGUUUAGCGCCCACCGUGGGGCUAAGGAUAAUAGUGAUUGUUCAGUACUGAUUCUGGUAAAACACACUAUUUUACGCUUGUUCUUGUCAAGUAUCUUUGCUUUCAGGUUAAAAUAUGUCAAACUCACAAAACGCAUCCACACACGGUGACAAUGGCCUCAGAUUCUAUGGUGAAAACAAAAAUGUGAUUGCUCCAUGAGUCGAGGUGCCACAGGUUAAUCUCGGGGAAGCACCGGCUGCCAACCCAGUCGAUGUCAGUUCGCACGUUGCACUAAAUAUGGACCUAGGCACAAGUCUCGAUGGAAGCGUACGCAGAGAAGGCCAAACUAGUGACCAAGGAACACAUGGAAGAGUAGACGAAGGAGUCAGUCUCCAAGUGAUAUUCGAGAUGCUUCAGGCUCAGCAGGCCGCUAUUGCUCAGUUACAAAAUCAACAUAGGACUCCAAAUAGGGUCGAGCCGAAAAUUACUCGCCGUACCGAGCCAGUACCGGAAAGGUCGAAUGGUAACGAAAUGGGGACUGGUCCUGCGGUAAUAAAAAUGUUCGAGGAGCUCACCAAAAAAAUUGAAUUAGGAAAAAGGAGAAUCGAAGCCAACGAUAAAAAAGUGGAGACAUACAACUCUCGAGUUGACCAGAUACCGGGGGCACCGCCAAUCUUGAGAGAGAUGGAUUCGAAGAAGUUUAUACAAAAGCCGUUUCCUCUAAGUGCGGCUCCGAAGCCUAUUCCAAAGAAGUUUUGUAUGCCAGACAUACCCAAAUAUAAUGGGACCACCGAUCCCAACGAGCAUAUUACUUCAUAUACAUGCGCCAUCAAGGGUAACGACUUAGAAGAUGAUGAAAUCGAAUAUGUGCUGUUGAAAAAAUUUGGAGAAAUCCUUUCGAAGGGAGCAAUGAUUUGGUAUCACAACCUAUCACCAAAUUCCAUUGACUCAUUUGCCAUGUUAGCAGAUUCUUUCGUAAAGGUACACGUCGGAGCCAUAAAGGUCGCAACGAGGAAAUAAGACCUUUUCAAGGUAAGACAAAGGGAUAAUGAAAUGAUGAGGGAGUUCAUGUCCCGAUUUUAAAUGGAACGCAUGGAGUUGCCACCGGUUACAGAUGAUUGGGCCGUUCAAGCUUUCACCCAAGGGUUGAAUGAGCAGAGUUCAAUAGCAUCACAUCAGUUGAAACAAAAUUUGAUCGAGUAUCCAGCUGUAACUUGGGCAGAUAUGCACAAUCGAUAUCAAUCGAAGAUCAGGGUCGAGGACGACCAAUUAGGAGCCCCUUCCGGUUCAGUACAUGAACCCGAGAUUAUGUGCCCGAAGGCACUUUAUCAUUCAACGACGAAGAAACAGAAGGCAUUUCUCAGCCCCACAAUGACGCUCUGGUAAUUUCUAUCUUAUUAAAUAAAGUUCAAGUUAAGCGUGUUUUAGUGGAUCCAGGUAGCUCGGCGAAUAUCAUCCGAUCGAGGGUUGUGGAGCAGCUCGGCCUACUAAAUCAAAUCGUGCCCGCAGCUCGGGUUUUAAUCGGCUUCAAUAUAGCUAGUGAAACAACUAAAGGGGAGAUUAUUCUACCGGUGAACGUGGCUGGAACCAUUCAAGAUACCAAGUUCCACGUACUCGAGGGCGACAUGAGGUACAAUACCCUACUCGGAAGGCCUUGGAUCCACAAUAUGAGGGCAGUUCCUUCGACUCUUCACCAAAUGAUGAAAUUCCCGACGUCGGCCGGUGUAAAAACAGUAUACGGGGAGCAGCAUGCUGCAAAGGAAAUGUUUACGAUCGAUGAGGUAAUGCCGAUAUCGACACUAUUAACCUCAAAAAGGUCAAGCAUUAAAGGUAAACAAGAAGUCAAAUAGCAAUCACAGCCACCAGCCUCGACCGAAUCAGGGAAGCAGGACAUAGAAGAAGAAGAGGAGGAUUUUCUUACCCCUCGAACUUUUAUUGUUCCCGAAGAUUCUAACGCCACCAAAUCAACGGGAUUUAAACAAGGCGUGCCCCAAAUAUUCUUUUCCACUGCCUAACAUCGAUUGCAUGAUCGAUGCCAUGACCGUCCACGAGAUCCUUACUUUUCUCGAUGCCUAUUCUGGGUACAAUCAAAUCCAAAUGAAUUUGGUUAAUGUAAUGCCCUUCGGGCUAAAAAAUGCAGGAUCUACUUACCAACGCCUAGUAAAUGAGAUGUUCGAAGAACAAAUAGGUAAAUCAAUGGAAGUUUAUAUUGAUGACAUGUUAGUUAAGUCCCUGCGCACAAAGGACAAUUUGGCUCAUUUGCAGGAAACGUUCGAGAUUUUAAGGAAAUACAACAUGAAGCUCAACCCCAAGAAAUGUGCCUUCGGGGUUGGUUCGGGCAAGUUCCUUGGCUUCAUGGUAUCGAAUGGGGGGAUCGAGAUCAACCCCGAUAAAAUCAAGGACAUCGAAGACAUCACCAUUAUGGACAGUGUAAAAGCCAUGCAGAGGCUAACUGGACGGAUAACUACCUUAGGCCGAUUCAUUUCGAUGUCGUCGGAUCGAAGCCACAGAUUUUUCUCUCUGCUAAAAAAGAAGAACGAUUUUGCCUGGACCCUAGGAUGUCAACACACGUUAGAGGAAUUAAAGUGAUACCUAUCGAGCCUACCACCGCUUCAUACUCCAAAGGCAGAUGAGAAACUUUACUUGUACUUGGCAGUAUCGAAAAUUGCGGUAAGUGGUGUCCUAGUUCGAGAAGAGCAAGGUACGCAAUUUUCCAUUUAUUAUGUAAGUCGAACCUUAAGAUAAGCAGAAACUAGAUACCCACACUUAGAGAAAUUGGCACUUGCACUGAUAAGCGCCUCUAGAAAGUUAAGACCAUACUUUCAAUGUCACCCCAUAUAUGUAUUAACCACUUACCCACUUCGUAAUAUUUUGCACAAGCACGAACUAUCGGGAUGAUUGGCCAAAUGGGCCAUCGAACUCAGUGGGUACGAUAUCGAAUAUCAACCCCAUACGGCCAUCAAGUCUCAAAUUUUAGCGGAUUUCAUGGCCGACUUCACGCUAGCCCUCGUACCCGAAGUCGAAAAGGAACUAUUGUUAAAAUCGGGUACAUCAUCGGGGGUAUGGACCCUUUUCACAGAUGGUGCUUCGAAUGUGAAGGGGUCCGGGCUAGGCAUCGUUUUGAAGCCGCCCACAGGUAGCACUAUUAGGCAAUCUAUCAAAACUUCUAAGUUGACUAACAAUGAGGCCGAGUACGAGGCCAUGAUUGCAGGUCUCGAGCUAGCUAAAAGCUUGGGAGAAGAAUUUAUUGAAGCCAAGUGUGACUCUUUACUGGUAGGGAACCAAGUAAAUAAAACCUUUGAAGUUUGAGAGGAUAGAAUGCAAAGGUAUUUGGACAAGUUGCAGGUAACCUUGCACCGUUUCAAGGAAUGAACUUUACAGCAUGUACCUCGAGAACAAAACAGUGAGGCCGAUGCACUUGCAAAUCUAGGGUCAUCGGUCGAGGAAGAUGAGAUCAGCUCGGGGACUGUCAUUCAACUCUCGAGAUCCGUGAUCGAGGAAGGUCAUGCCGAGAUAAACUCUACAAGCUUAACCUGGGAUUGAAGGAAUAAAUGUAUUGAAUACUUGAAGAACGGAAAGCUCCCAUCGGCCCCUAAAGAGUCGAGGGCCCUACGAACCAAAGCUGCUCGAUUCACAUUGGCUGAAGAUGGAAUAUUAUAGAGAAGGACAUUCAAUGGACCAUUGGCAGUGUGCUUAGGACCAGGGGACACCGAUUAUGUUCUACAAGAAGUCCAUGAAGGAACUUGUGGGAACCACUCCGGCGCCGAAUCACUGAUUCACAAAAUCAUCAGAGCAAAAAUACUACUGGGAUAGCAUGGAAAAAGACACUAAGGAGUUUGUUCGAAAAUGUGAUAAAUGUCAAAGGUUUGCACCGAUGAUCCAUCAGCCCAGAGAACAACUUCAUUCAGUCCUAUCCCUAUGGCCGUUCAUGAAAUGGAGAAUGGAUAUCGUCGGCCUUCUGCCUUCGGCCCCAGGUAAAGCUAAGUUCAUUUUAUUUAUGACUGACUAUUUCUCUAAAUGGGUUGAAGCACAGGCAUUCGAGAAAGUGAGAGAGAAAGAGGUCAUAUACUUCAUCUGGGAUCAUAUCAUAUGUCGAUUUGGGAUACCCCCCGAAAUAGUGUGUGACAAUGGAAAAUAAUUUAUCGGCAGCAAAGUGACAAAAUUCCUUGAAGACCACAAAAUAAAAAGGAUGUUAUCAAUACCAUAUCACCUUAGUAGGAACAGACAGGCCGAAUCGACGAACAAGACUAUCAUUCAAAACCUAAAGAAAAGGUUGAACGACGCUAAGGGGAAAUGGAGAGAACUUCUACCCGAAGUUCUCUGGACAUAUCGAACAACAUCAAAGUCUAGUACGGGAGCAACCCCGUUCUCCUUAAUAUAUGGCUCCGAAGCCUUGAUUCUGAUCGAAGUCGGGGAACCCAGCGCCAGGUUUCGACAUACAACAGAAGAGUCAAAACACGAGGCUAUGAAUACUAGCCUCGAAUUAUUAGAUAAAAAAUGAGAUGCCGCACUCAUUCGAAUGGCUGCACAAAAGCAACGAAUCGAAAGAUAUUACAAUAGGAGAACCAACCUUCACCACUUCAGAGUCGGGGACUUAGUCCUGAGAAAAGUCACCAUCAACACUCGGGAUCCUAAUGAAGGGAAGCUCGGCCCAAAUUGGGAAGGACCCUACCAAGUCCUCGACAUUGUCGGAAAGGGAUCUUAUAAGCUCGGCACGAUGGACGACAAACAACUGCCAAAUAAUUAGAACAUAUCUCUUUUCAAACGGUAUUAUUGCUAAGGUAUGACUUUAUUCCCUUUUUUCAUUUAUAUAUUCGACACUAACUCACUGCAAACGAUCGAUCGAAGAUAUCGAAACCUCAGAUUUUAAAGUACGCGUUGCACUCUUUUUCCCUUAGAUCGGUUUUUGUCCCAAGUAGGUUUUUCUGGCGAGGUUUUUAAUGAGGCAACAAUUAUGUGCUACCUGAGGACAAUUCAACAUUAUCCAAGGCUUCUUUAUAAUCAACCUCGAAUAUUAGGGGGGCAUCACUCUAGGAUGUUACACUUUCGAGGAAAAUACUUCGUGUCAAAGGGUUUCGAUAGAAAAUUUUUGUAAUGGGCCAAACGGUCGAAUGAACCGUGUCCGUAUAGAUUAGUCAAGCCCCGAUGGCAAAACAUGUACGCAUGUAUAAAUUAUACAAAGAAGCAUUCUUUUUGUAUUAAAGAUCUUGUAUCUUGAAGAAACGUUUCUACUAUACAAGCUCCAUACUUAUGAUUUUGUGAGAAAUGGCUCAAGGGCCAAGUGCAAAUAUACCUCGUAUACUCGGGGACUACCGUAGACGAUCGACAAAUUCGAGUAAUCUAACCUCGAAUUCAUAAGACCUCAAAGAGGCACCCCUCAAUUUAUAGGCCAAAGCUAUCAUUCUCGGGCACUAACACUUCGAUAAGCCCAGGAGGCAUACCCAAAGGCUACAACCAAAUUAAGGCGGCUUGGAGACGUUCGAAUCCCGCGAUAAAAAUAGGCCUUUGAAUUCUUUGAAAAAUCGGUUAAAAAAGGGCUACCCUCGGCAAGUAAUCAAAAGGGUUUCGAUAAAAUUAGCUCUCGAAAAACUUUAAGAGGUAUCAAAUUAUCUUAACACAAACGUGCUGAGGCAUAAAAAGCAAAGGAGUUUCGAUCAACAUCAAACCCUCAAAAAACCCAAUGGGUAAAGAAUACAUGUUAAGGCAUAAAGAAAUUUUUUACUAAGUCUACUAAGCCGAAAAAGGGAAAAAAAUAGCCAUUUUUUAGAGGCCAUAUCGGCCCAAUCUAAAUAGCCUAAGGGCCAAUACACUUAGAGUUAGAUAUUUUGUUCUCACUCAAUUCGGACCUAAGGGUUCCACUAUUCCGAGCUCAAAUAAAAUUGACUUGAACAUAGCUCGAGGAUUCAUCAUUAUUUGAUAUAAAAUCUUAAGGGGUCUGUUACUGUGAGUUCGAAACUCACUCAAACUCAGCUAUAAAAAAUCGUAUAAUUACGGCUCCGAUCAAACCAUCCAAAAUCAAAACCCCGAGCAUAUUGUUGAGCUCGGGAACUCUCCCUCGUUUAACUAAAAAAUCCUAGGGUUUGUUUAACUCCGAGUUCGAGUUAUCGCUCACUCGAUUGUAGAGGCUAUAGCACCUGAUUGCAAUAGAGUCUUCACAAGGAAAAGGUAAAAUAGAAUUUAUCAUAAGUCAAAAAUCGGGUAGAAAGGAAUCUUUUAUAUAUGCAAAGUAUUUAUUAAGACCACAUAGGGUCUUACACAAAAAACAAAAGAAGAAAAAAAAAUCCUAAGUGUUUAGUCCGCCUGGGGAGCCACAUCUUCGGGAGCAUCAUCUUCAUCUCUUCCACUCUCGGAUCCAGUCGCAGAGUCUUCAUCAUCGGAAAGCAAAGCCCCGACCUCGUCCUCCAAAACCUUCGCAUUUUCGAUAUCAGCCGUGAGGUCGAACCCACGAGCAUGUACCUCCUCAAGAGUCUCUCUUCAUGACUGGCAUCUAGCAUGCUCAGCAACACGGGAUAGUCUAACCUCACCAGCGUCAGAAAUUUCCUUUGCCCGAGUGUUAGCGGCUUCAGCGUCGGCUCGGUAGAAGGCCACGAGCGCCUCUACCUCAGAUGUGGCCCUUGUAAGUUCAACGGCCAACCGAGUCUCGAGCUCUUCGACUUUCUGGGCUCCAGCCAAACUCUCCCCCUUCAUACUUUGGAGUUGACUCUCAACCGAAGAUAGUUGGGCCGGAACCGCAUCUUUCUCCGAGGCGAGAUGGUCCAUGCUAUUCUUCCACCCCAAAAAUUCUGCCUCUUUUAUCUUGGCCUCCUCACGAAGCUGCUCAACCAAUUCUGCCUUCUUCUGAACCUGCAGGAUCAAAGCGUUAAUCGCCAAUAUCAAAUUGAUACAUAACAACAAAAAUUUACGUUACCCGUUCGAUGAGCUCGGUCUGAUCUUGAUGAGCUCUUGUCAGCUCGUCUCGAAUGCUCAUAAUCUCCUCUUCUUUUUACACAUAGAGGAGUUUGAGGGCGUCUCUCUCCUCCGUAAGCUUUUUGAGAUCAGCCUCAUAUCAGGCCAGCUCAACUCGGUAUUUGGAGAAAGCUUCUCGAUAGAGCGCCGUAGCUUGUACAGGAAGGAAGGGAAUCAGACUUAGAGAAAUAAGAAUAAACGCAAGCAUGGUAACAUGGGCAAAAACUCACCUGGUUCAGAAGUCGCUGAGCCUCAUAAAAACUGAGUGAUGCGUCAAGGUCAGAAAUAUCAUCGACCCCCGCGAAGCAGCCACGAAAAAUGUCAUCCCCUUCGGGGGCCGUCCCCACAUCGGGGGUCCCCAUGGAUCGGGCAACCCGAAACUGCCCCUCAGAAAACAUGGUGCCGGAUGGCAAAUCGUCGAUAUUAAUUGCCCCGAGCGAGUCACUUAGGGCAUUCUCUUCUCUUUGAAGGGCCUCAGAACUAGACCCUUCGGGCACACCCGCUGGUUGCUCAUCACGACAGGGGGCAUCAUCAAUACCCGAUGAUUCGGGGACUCUGCUCGGACCUUCCCCUGAGAUCACCUCGAUCUGCGGUUGAACCCUCUCGACCGUCACCGGCUCAGUAGCUUUCGAAGCUUCGAUGCUUCCCCUCUUCCGAGCCACCAGCAUGCAGUCGGUAUCUUCUCCCUCCCCGUCUUCAUCUCAUAGCUUUUGGACUACAUCGGCAGGCAGAACAGCAAGAUCAUUCCUCGACUUUCGAGCCCUAUUUUUCUUAGGCCUUGGGGUAUCUGGAGGCGAGGCCCUUCUCCUUUUAUUAUCUUUGGUCGGCUUCGAGACCUCAUCUUCCCCGAGGGGAGGCGGCCUCAUAACGAGACUAUCUCCAAGACCUGUAUUAGAAGAAAUCAAGUUAAAAGAAAGUAUUUCAUAGGAAAGCAUCAAACUCGGACAGGGGAACUUACCAUGAUUUUUGGCCUCCCAUCGACCCUUGGACAAAUCACGCCACGAGCGCUCAGCAUACGAAGAGGUCGAAACCAGUUGUCGAACUCAACCUACAAGGUCCGGGACCGCACCAGGAAACCAGGGGGAAGCUGAACCAUAAAGAAGAAUAUAGAUGAAAAGAGGUAAAGAAAAUAUAACAAGUGACCGAACGAUAUCGGUGAAGAUCUACUUACGCUUCAUGUUCCAUUCUUCGGGAAAUGGCAUAUUCUCGGCGGGGAUUAAAUCGAAGGUCCUGACUUGGGCAAACUGGCACAUCCAUCCUCGGUCCUUGUCCUCACCUAUGCUUGAGAAUAGCACCUUCGUGGCCCGACGCUGAAGCCUUAUCAGUCUGCCCCGAUAAAGAUGGGGGUUGUAUAGCCUAAUGAGAUGAUCGAGAGUGAAAGACAUCCCCUCGAUCUUGCUCGAGAAGAAUCUGAGCAAAUUGACGAUGCGCCAAAAAGAGGGGUAAAUCUAGCUUAGGGUUACCCGGUAUUGGCGGCUGAAGUCGAUUAUGACAGGAUCGACGGGGCCUAGUGUGAAAGGGUAAGUAUACACAAUUAAGAACCCUUUCACAUGAGUGGUGAUGUCCUCUUCGGUGGUAGGAAUCACCACCUCUUUAUUCUCCCAGUGGCAGUCCUUUUUCACCUGCUCGAGAUCACAUUCGGAUAUCGAACAGAUGUAUCUAAACAUGGGCUCGCAUCGGCCAGGAACCGAAGAGGGUUUUUCGACUAUAAAGUCGGACGUAAGUUCAUACUGCCCGAGAAUGCACUCUUUGAUACGUGGCUCUACUGGUGUUUUGUCACCGGACAGCCGCGAUGAGGAGGCUUUUUCUUCUUCUUGAAGAACGGUCUUUGAUGUUUUUGCCAUUGCUAUAUGAGGUUUAAGGGAGAAGAAGGCGAAAUUUGUGUUUUAAUAAGAGAUUGGUAAACGGAAACCGUUGAAAUUGAUAAACUUGAGGAAGAUAGAAGAAGAUUUUGAAGAUUAGAAAAAAAUUGAAAGUAAAGUUUGAGAAGAUUAUGAAGGUGGUUUAUUUAUAAUAGCCACUUUGACGGUUUGAAAGCACUAGUGGCCGACCAUCAACUGACGUUAAUUAAUGACUUUGGGAACUGUGCAGACGCGACGCUUCAGUCGCUUACGUCACGAUGUUGACAUCAUUAAAUCGAAGUCUCAAAUUCGUUUCUUCUCGUUACACUUCAAGAAACUAGGGGACUAUCUAUAUAUGGUCAAAACCGGGCCUACCCGAUUUUGCCGUUUGAUCGAGACAAGGGAGUUGCAUCGGGGGAUAACCUCGUAAUAAAUCGGACCAAGGCUCGAAGAUGAGACAUCAAGCCUAGAGAUCGAAGUGUAUGUUGAGACCGAGGCCAACAACAAUCGAGAUCAAGUAUUGAUCGACUUCAAGGGAAGCAUAAUAACGGAAUGGCGAGAUAUCGGUAACCGGUCAAGGAUCAUGGCGUGAAUCUCGGAACGGACCAAAUCAGAAGCGGAUAACUAGCUGUUUAUACGGUUUCCUUAUGUAAUGAGAGAUAUACCAUAAUUAGGUCUUCUCUACUAUAUAAAGAGGAGGUUCAAUCAUUUGUAGGCAUCAUUAUUCACUGAUAAGAAUAUACACAUACCCUGUACGCUGUUUUCUUUGUUCAUCACUAUUCAUCGUUAUUUGUUCUAUCCUAUAUUGUUCUUAUUAAUUAACCUCGAGGCUACUUCGAAUCGAGGUCGAGGCAUCGCUUGCAGACCGGUUUGUUUUGUUUUAUUGUCCAAGUUAUCUAUUUAAUUCGUUGUUUAUCAAUUGGUGCUGGUCUAAAUCACAUAUCCUUAAAAUCACAAUACAAGUUUAAUUGUUACUCAAUUUUUAGGGUAAACAUUCAUAAAUAGAGGAUUUCAUUUUGAUUUUAUGGGCGUUGAUAUUUUGAACAAUUAGUAUAGGGCCAAAAAGAAAUGGAAGAAAACGUUGUUAUAUUUCUAACAAUUAUUAAUUGUACUUUUGUUGAAAAACGAAAUGAAGAAUAAAGUAGUCCCAUUUUGAAUAGUUGAGGAUUAUUUUUGGCCAUUUUCCCUUCUAUUAAACUACACGAAUAAAGUAAAAACUAUUUAACAUGAUUAGUGUAUAUUAAAAUAUUUUGUCUAUAAAAGCAUGUUGAUGAUUUGCGAACCUUUCGUUGCUUGAUGAGUGCAAGAAAAUUGCCAUAUUUUUUUUACCGAACAAAGUCCAAGACAAAAUGAAAAUUAUUGUGACCACACUUUCUGAACUAGUAUAACAAAGUUACAUUAUACAUUAUUUUUCUCUGCAGAGCAGAGUUAUUAUCACAAAUAAAAAUCACAACUAUUCUCUUCUACCAUAAGAUGGGAGAAUCCUUGUCCACUCUCUCUUUUUAUUUAUUUAAAAAUUCAAACUAGCACUCAUAAAUGAAAAUACAAAAAGAAAAAGUAAGAACAAAAGGUAUAUUCUCCCUCCCGAAAAUAGUGNNNNN